CCUACGGGAGGCAGCAGUGGGGAAUAUUGCACAAUGGGGGAAACCCUGAUGCAGCGACGCCGCGUGAGUGAAGAAGUAUUUCGGUACGUAAAGCUCUAUCAGCAGGGAAGAAAAUGACGGUACCUGACUAAGAAGCGCCGGCUAACUACGUGCCAGCAGCCCCGGUAAUACGUAGGGGGCAAGCGUUAUCCGGAUUUACUGGGUGUAAAGGGAGCGUAGACGGCAGCGCAAGUCUGGAGUGAAAGCCCAUGGCUUAACCAUGGAACUGCUUUGGAAACUGUCGAGCUAGAGUGCAGGAGAGGUAAGCGGAAUUCCUAGUGUAGCGGUGAAAUGCGUAGAUAUUAGGAGGAACACCAGUGGCGAAGGCGGCUUACUGGACUGUAACUGACGUUGAGGCUCGAAAGCGUGGGGAGCAAACAGGAUUAGAUACCCCUGUAGUC
RNAcentral lists this ribosomal RNA (440 nucleotides) under uncultured bacterium. RNAcentral describes it as "partial 16S ribosomal RNA". It matches the Rfam family "Bacterial small subunit ribosomal RNA", at positions 338 to 795 of the family's 1533-position model. The record is from RNAcentral.